Molecule: ribosomal RNA, 274 nt
Filed under: uncultured bacterium
Lineage: Bacteria
Description: partial 16S ribosomal RNA
Rfam family: Bacterial small subunit ribosomal RNA
Source: RNAcentral
GAGUUUGAUCAUGGCUCAGGAUGAACGCUGGCGGCGUGCCUAACACAUGCAAGUCGAACGAAGCAUUUGAUUGGAAGUUUCGGAUGGAAGAUGAGAUGACUGAGUGGCGGACGGGUGAGUAACGCGUGGGUAACCUGCCCCAUACAGGGGGACAACAGUUAGAAAUGACUGCUAAUACCGCAUAAGCGCACGAGGACGCAUGUUCUUGUGUGAAAAACUGAGGUGGUAUGGGAUGGACCCGCGUCUGAUUAGCUAGUUGGCAGGGUAAAGGCCU